GAUGAACGCUGGCGGCGUGCCUAAUACAUGCAAGUCGAGCGAACGGACGAGAAGCUUGCUUUUCUGAUGUUAGCGGCGGACGGGUGAGUAACACGUGGAUAACCUACCUAUAAGACUGGGAUAACUUCGGGAAACCGGAGCUAAUAUCGGAUAAUAUUUUGAACCGCAUGGUUCAAAAGUGAAAGACGGUCUUGCUGUCACUUAUAGAUGGAUCCGCGCUGCAUUAGCUAGUUGGUAAGGUAACGGCUUACCAAGGCAACGAUGCAUAGCCGACCUGAGAGGGUGAUCGGCCACACUGGAACUGAGACACGGUCCAGACUCCUACGGGAGGCAGCAGUAGGGAAUCUUCCGCAAUGGGCGAAAGCCUGACGGAGCAACGCCGCGUGAGUGAUGAAGGUCUUCGGAUCGUAAAACUCUGUUAUUAGGGAAGAACAUAUGCGUAAGUAACUGUGCACAUCUUGACGGUACCUAAUCAGAAAGCCACGGCUAACUACGUG
This 497-nucleotide ribosomal RNA is filed under the name uncultured bacterium. RNAcentral's name for it is "partial 16S ribosomal RNA". It matches the Rfam family "Bacterial small subunit ribosomal RNA", at positions 28 to 507 of the family's 1533-position model. The record is from RNAcentral.